GAACUUAAGUAUUACACGUAAAUAAAAUAAAAAAAAAUUAGUAUAAUUUUGUCUAAAAUAUUAAUAUUAAUAUAAAACAAUUCACAUUUCCAGUAGCGUAUUUGAAAAUGCAGUAGUUAUUCUUGACCAACUUUUAUUUAUGUUUCGGUUGAACUUUAAAUUAUUCAUCCUUCGUUCUCCUGCAACCUGCAAUGUUGCUUUGGCAUUGUAUGUCCACCCACUCAACUCUUCAAGUUAUGGUGACAUUGUGGUUGAUGAAAGCCCAAACACAAGUCUACUUUGAUGAAAUUAAUGUUUGGAUAAACUUACAGACUUUUACGACAACAAUUUUGCUCCAAUUUCAGCAUCCAUUCUCAACGCUAUAGACAAUCCAAAAUCAUUAAAAGAAAUUGAGAUAAUCAAUAGGAGAUGAAUAAAAAGAUUAUAGAAAUAAAAAUAAUAAGGUGAAAAGAUGUUUCUUACAUGGAAGAAUACUAAGGAUACUUGGCUUGUAUAGGGAAGAGUGACUAAGUUGUGAGAGGUGACAAAUCAUAAGAUCAAAUUUUUCAGAUGUAUCAAACUAUUAAAUGAAAAAGGCCAUGUUUGCUGUUGGUAACUUUAUCUUUCUAUGGUUAUACCUAAUGUAGCUGGAAAGACAACAACAAGG
Molecule: long non-coding RNA, 646 nt
Filed under: Cicer arietinum (chickpea)
Lineage: Eukaryota; Viridiplantae; Streptophyta; Magnoliopsida; Fabales; Fabaceae
Description: long non-coding RNA (CARI_LNC003379)
Source: RNAcentral